Molecule: ribosomal RNA, 253 nt
Filed under: uncultured bacterium
Lineage: Bacteria
Description: partial 16S ribosomal RNA
Rfam family: Bacterial small subunit ribosomal RNA
Source: RNAcentral
UACGGAGGGUGCAAGCGUUAUCCGGAUUCACUGGGUUUAAAGGGUGCGUAGGCGGGUAAGUAAGUCCGUGGUGAAAUCUCUGAGCUUAACUCAGAAACUGCCGUGGAUACUAUUUGCCUUGAAUAUUGUGGAGGUGAGCGGAAUAUGGCAUGUAGCGGUGAAAUGCUUAGAUAUGACAUAGAACACCAAUUGCGAAGGCAGCUCACUACACAAUCAUUGACGCUGAGGAGCGAAAGCAUGGGGAGCGAACAGG